This 274-nucleotide ribosomal RNA is filed under the name uncultured bacterium. RNAcentral describes it as "partial 16S ribosomal RNA". It matches the Rfam family "Bacterial small subunit ribosomal RNA", at positions 523 to 796 of the family's 1533-position model. The record is from RNAcentral.
AUACGGAGGGGGCUAGCGUUGUUCGGAAUCACUGGGCGUAAAGCGCUCGUAGGCGGACCAGUCAGUCAGAGGUGAUAUCCCAAGGCUCAACCUUGGAACUGCCUUUGAUACUGCUGGUCUUGAGGUCGAGAGAGGUAAGUGGAAUUCCUAGUGUAGAGGUGAAAUUCGUAGAUAUUAGGAAGAACACCAGUGGCGAAGGCGGCUUACUGGCUCGAUUCUGACGCUGAGGAGCGAAAGCGUGGGGAGCAAACAGGAUUAGAAACCCUAGUAGUCC